AGAGUUUGAUCAUGGCUCAGGACGAACGCUGGCGGCGUGCUUAACACAUGCAAGUCGAACGGUGAACCGGGCUUCGGCCCGGGGAUCAGUGGCGAACGGGUGCGUAACACGUGGGCAACCUGCCCCAGACACUGGGAUAACUCCGGGAAACCGGGGCUAAUACCGGAUACUCCGGUCGAACCUCAUGGUUCGAUCGGGAAAGCUCCGACGGUCUGGGAUGGGCCCGCGGCCUAUCAGCUUGUUGGCGAGGUAACGGCUCACCAAGGCGACGACGGGUAGCUGGUCUGAGAGGACGACCAGCCACACUGGAACUGAGAUACGGUCCAGACUCCUACGGGAGGCAGCAGUGGGGAAUCUUGCACAAUGGGCGAAAGCCUGAUGCAGCGACGCCGCGUGGGGGACGAAUGCCUUCGGGUUGUAAACCCCUUUCGGCAGGGAAGAAGCGCAAGUGACGGUACCUGCAGAAGAAGUCCCGGCUAACUACGUGCCAGCAGCCGCGGUA
Molecule: ribosomal RNA, 502 nt
Filed under: uncultured Actinomycetes bacterium
Lineage: Bacteria; Bacillati; Actinomycetota; Actinomycetes
Description: bacterial SSU rRNA
Rfam family: Bacterial small subunit ribosomal RNA
Source: RNAcentral